RNAcentral lists this ribosomal RNA (854 nucleotides) under uncultured Pseudomonadota bacterium. RNAcentral describes it as "bacterial SSU rRNA". It matches the Rfam family "Bacterial small subunit ribosomal RNA", at positions 72 to 902 of the family's 1533-position model. Lineage: Bacteria; Pseudomonadati; Pseudomonadota. The record is from RNAcentral.
AAAGUCCGCAAGGAUGAGUAAAGCGGCGAACGGGUGAGUAACACGUAGGUAACCUGCCUUUCAGUCUGGGACAACCUGUCGAAAGACGGGCUAAUACUAGAUAAGACCACGACUCUUUUGGGAGCAGUGGUAAACGAUGGCCUCUUCAUGAAAGCUAUCACUGAAAGAUGGGCCUGCGUACCAUUAGCUAGUUGGCAGGGUAAUGGCCUACCAAGGCUACGAUGGUUAGCUGAUCUGAGAGGAUGAUCAGCCACACUGGAACUGAAACACGGUCCAGACUCCUACGGGAGGCAGCAGUGGGGAAUAUUGCGCAAUGGGGGAAACCCUGACGCAGCAACGCCGCGUGAGUGACGAAGGCCUUCGGGUCGUAAAGCUCUGUCGGAGGGGAAGAAACUAUUUGGCGCUAACAUCGCCAGAUAUUGACGGUACCCUCAAAGGAAGCACCGGCUAACUCCGUGCCAGCAGCCGCGGUAAUACGGAGGGUGCAAGCGUUGUUCGGAAUUACUGGGCGUAAAGCGCGUGUAGGUGGCUUAUUAUGUCAGGUGUGAAAGCCCUCGGCCUAACCGAGGAAGUGCGCCUGAAACUGAUAGGCUUGAGUACGAGAGAGGAGGACGGAAUUCCCAGUGUAGAGGUGAAAUUCGUAGAUAUUGGGAGGAACACCGGUGGCGAAAGCGGUUCUCUGGAUCGAUACUGACGCUAAGACGCGAAAGCGUGGGGAGCAAACAGGAUUAGAUACCCUGGUAGUCCACGCCGUAAACGAUGGAUAUUAGUUGUUGCGAGUUUAACCCUCGCAGUGACGACGCUAACGCAUUAAAUAUCCCGCCUGGGAAGUACGGCCGCAAGGGUUAAAACUC